RNAcentral lists this ribosomal RNA (367 nucleotides) under uncultured bacterium. RNAcentral's name for it is "bacterial SSU rRNA". It matches the Rfam family "Bacterial small subunit ribosomal RNA", at positions 527 to 896 of the family's 1533-position model. The record is from RNAcentral.
GGAGGGUGCAAGCGUUAUCCGGAAUCACUGGGCGUAAAGGGCGCGUAGGUGGUCUGUUAAGUCUGGCGUUAAAGCCUGGGGCUCAACCCCAGAUCAGCGUUGGAUACUGGCAGGCUAGACGGUUGGAGAGGCGAGUGGAAUUACCAGUGUAGCGGUGGAAUGCGUAGAUACUGGUAGGAACACCCAUUGCGAAGGCAGCUCGCUGGACAACACGUGACACUGAGGCGCGAAAGUGUGGGGAGCAAACCGGAUUAGAUACCCGGGUAGUCCACACCCUAAACGAUGCAUACUUGGUAUUGGCCCGUUGGGGUCAGUGCCGGAGCUAACGUGUUAAGUAUGCCGCCUGGGAAGUACGGCCGCAAGGUUG